This 463-nucleotide ribosomal RNA is filed under the name uncultured bacterium. Its description in RNAcentral is "partial 16S ribosomal RNA". It matches the Rfam family "Bacterial small subunit ribosomal RNA", at positions 28 to 507 of the family's 1533-position model. The record is from RNAcentral.
GAUGAACGCUGACAGAAUGCUUAACACAUGCAAGUCGAUGGGGAAGUGGUGCUUGCACCCUGGCAACCAUGGCGGACGGGUGAGUAACGCGUAAGGGACUUACCUGCAGGACUGGGAUAACAGGGGGAAACUCCUGACAAGACCGGAUAAUGUCAUGGAGCUGCAUGGCUUUAUGAUGAAAGGAGACGCCUGCGGAGAGCCUUGCGUCCUAUUAGCUAGUUGGUGAGGUAAUGGCUCACCAAGGCGAAGAUAGGUAGCCGGCCUGAGAGGGUGGACGGCCACAAGGGGACUGAGAUACGGCCCUUACUCCUACGGGAGGCAGCAGUGGGGAAUAUUGGACAAGGGGGGCAACCCUGAUCCAGCAAUUCUGUGUGCACGAAGAAGGUUUUCGGAUUGUAAAGUGCUUUCAGCAGGGAAGAAGUAAGUGACGGUACCUGCAGAAGAAGCGACGGCUAAAUACGUG